Molecule: non-coding RNA, 102 nt
Filed under: Burkholderiales bacterium
Lineage: Bacteria; Pseudomonadati; Pseudomonadota; Betaproteobacteria; Burkholderiales
Description: TPP sequence
Rfam family: TPP riboswitch aptamer (THI element)
About the family: Vitamin B(1) in its active form thiamin pyrophosphate (TPP) is an essential coenzyme that is synthesised by coupling of pyrimidine and thiazole moieties in bacteria. The previously detected thiamin-regulatory element, thi box was extended, resulting in a new, highly conserved RNA secondary structure, the THI element, which is widely distributed in eubacteria and also occurs in some archaea.
Source: RNAcentral
GAAGUCUGCCCGGGGUGCGCAUGGCUUGCGCUGAGAUGGACGACCAAACCCGCGAACUUGAUCCGGCUCAUACCGGCGUAAGAAGAGCAGCUCAGCACAGGC